GUCUAUGGCCAUACCACAACGUGCACGUGCACAAUCUCUUCUGAUCUUGGAAACUAAAGAGGGUUAGGCUUGGUUAGUACUUGGAUGGGAGAUCACCCAGGAAUACCAGGUGUUGUAGGUA
This is a ribosomal RNA of Pteropus vampyrus (large flying fox), 121 nucleotides long. Lineage: Eukaryota; Metazoa; Chordata; Mammalia; Chiroptera; Pteropodidae. The record is from Ensembl.